Molecule: ribosomal RNA, 253 nt
Filed under: uncultured bacterium
Lineage: Bacteria
Description: partial 16S ribosomal RNA
Rfam family: Bacterial small subunit ribosomal RNA
Source: RNAcentral
UACAGAGGGUGCGAGCGUUGUUCGGAAUUAUUGGGCGUAAAGCGCGUGUAGGCGGCUUUGCAAGUCGGGUGUGAAAGCCCUCAGCUUAACUGAGGAAGUGCGCCCGAAACUGCAUUGCUUGAGUACCGGAGAGGAUGGCGGAAUUCCCCAAGUAGAGGUGAAAUUCGUAGAUAUGGGGAGGAACACCAGUGGCGAAGGCGACUCACUGGACACGUAUUGACGCUGAGGUGCGAAAGCGUGGGGAGCAAACAGG